GCGGCCCAUUCGUGGAAUUCCAUUUCUAAUCUAUUACAUUAACAAAAAUAGAAAAGAAAUAAAAAAAAUUAAGCUGAAUCGGGCCCAAAACGGACCCAAAACCGGGCCCAAAACUGAUCCAGCAACAGCCUCGCGCAGGCCCAUUUUCUCGCAGCAAAGCAGCCCAGAAACGCAAGGCUUGGGCCCAAUACACAGCCCAAAAUGCGGUCAAAGGCCUUGAUCCAGCAACAGGGGCGCACUCCUCUUUGUUCAGCUAGGGUUUGCGCCGCCCUAGGCGUCGCUGCUACCCCUGCCACCUGACCACACCACCACCACAUGAAACGUGCUGCGCCGUCGUCGUCUACCCACUGCUCUCCUGCCGGCGACGUCGUCAGCCAUCGCUGCUGCUCCGGUGAGCCUCCACCCGACACCAGCGUCGCAGCGCCGCACUUCCCUCUGUCGCCGCACCCUCCGUCUGCACGCGGUUGAGAUAUCGGCUGAGUAAAGAUGACACAGCACGACGCUCGUCGUUAAAUGGCAUCGCACAGACCUCUGGCAGUCGAGCCAGUAAGGAACGCCGGAGCGCCCCCAACCGCAGACGCCGAGAGCGAUCACAGCCAUAGAACAGGAGCGCAGCGCUUGAGGGUGCCUCGAAGCAGAUCUGAGCUUUGCUCUGUCACACCGAACGCAUCUGUCCUUCACCGGACGCAGUGGUGUUACGCCG
Molecule: long non-coding RNA, 703 nt
Filed under: Salvia miltiorrhiza (redroot sage)
Lineage: Eukaryota; Viridiplantae; Streptophyta; Magnoliopsida; Lamiales; Lamiaceae
Description: long non-coding RNA (SMIL_LNC002689)
Source: RNAcentral